UGGGGAAUAUUGCACAAUGGGCGAAAGCCUGAUGCAGCGACGACGCGUGAGGGAUGACGGCCUUCGGGUUGUAAACCUCUUUCAGCAGGGACGAAGCGCAAGUGACGGUACCUGCAGAAGAAGCACCGGCUAACUACGUGCCAGCAGCCGCGGUAAUACGUAGGGUGCAAGCGUUGUCCGGAAUUACUGGGCGUAAAGAGUUCGUAGGCGGUUUGUCGCGUCGUUUGUGAAAACCAGCAGCUCAACUGCUGGCUUGCAGGCGAUACGGGCAGACUUGAGUACUGCAGGGGAGACUGGAAUUCCUGGUGUAGCGGUGAAAUGCGCAGAUAUCAGGAGGAACACCGGUGGCGAAGGCGGGUCUCUGGGCAGUAACUGACGCUGAGGAACGAAAGCGUGGGUAGCGAACAGG
This 409-nucleotide ribosomal RNA is filed under the name bacterium. RNAcentral describes it as "partial 16S ribosomal RNA". It matches the Rfam family "Bacterial small subunit ribosomal RNA", at positions 355 to 776 of the family's 1533-position model. The record is from RNAcentral.